Molecule: ribosomal RNA, 486 nt
Filed under: uncultured Pseudomonadota bacterium
Lineage: Bacteria; Pseudomonadati; Pseudomonadota
Description: bacterial SSU rRNA
Rfam family: Bacterial small subunit ribosomal RNA
Source: RNAcentral
UGGGGAAUAUUGGACAAUGGGCGCAAGCCUGAUCCAGCAAUGCCGCGUGAGUGAUGAAGGCCUUCGGGUUGUAAAGCUCUUUCGCACGCGACGAUGAUGACGGUAGCGUGAGAAGAAGCCCCGGCUAACUUCGUGCCAGCAGCCGCGGUAAUACGAAGGGGGCUAGCGUUGUUCGGAAUUACUGGGCGUAAAGGGCGCGUAGGCGGUGUGUCAAGUCAGGCGUGAAAGCCCCGGGCUCAACCUGGGAACCGCGCUUGAGACUGGCACGCUCGAGUUCGGGAGAGGGAUGGUGGAAUUCCCAGUGUAGAGGUGAAAUUCGUAGAUAUUGGGAAGAACACCGAUGGCGAAGGCAGCCAUCUGGACCGACACUGACGCUGAGGCGCGAAAGCGUGGGGAGCAAACAGGAUUAGAUACCCUGGUAGUCCACGCCGUAAACGAUGAGUGCUAGACGUCGGGGCCCUCAGGGCUUCAGUGUCGCAGCUAACG